GUAGGGAAUCUUCGGCAAUGGACGAAAGUCUGACCGAGCAACGCCGCGUGAGUGAAGAAGGUUUUCGGAUCGUAAAACUCUGUUGGUAGAGAAGAACGUUGGUGAGAGUGGAAAGCUCAUCAAGUGACGGUAACUACCCAGAAAGGGACGGCUAACUACGUGCCAGCAGCCGCGGUAAUACGUAGGUCCCGAGCGUUGUCCGGAUUUAUUGGGCGUAAAGCGAGCGCAGGUGGUUUAUUAAGUCUGGUGUAAAAGGCAGUGGCUCAACCAUUGUAUGCAUUGGAAACUGGUAGACUUGAGUGCAGGAGAGGAGAGUGGAAUUCCAUGUGUAGCGGUGGAAUGCGUAGAUAUAUGGAGGAACACCGGUGGCGAAAGCGGCUCUCUGGCCUGUAACUGACACUGAGGCUCGAAAGCGUGGGGAGCAAACAGGAUUAGAAACCCCAGUAGUCC
This 450-nucleotide ribosomal RNA is filed under the name uncultured bacterium. RNAcentral describes it as "partial 16S ribosomal RNA". It matches the Rfam family "Bacterial small subunit ribosomal RNA", at positions 354 to 796 of the family's 1533-position model. The record is from RNAcentral.